UAAUACCGAAUAGGACCANNUUUNCCCCUGUCCUGUGGUNAGAAAGCUUUUGCGGUGUGGGAUGGGCCCGCGGCCUAUCAGCUUGUUGGUGGGGUGAUGGCCCACCAAGGCGACGACGGGUAGCCGGCCUGAGAGGGUGUCCGGCCACACUGGGACUGAGAUACGGCCCAGACUCCUACGGGAGGCAGCAGUGGGGAAUAUUGCACAAUGGGCGAAAGCCUGAUGCAGCGACGCCGCGUGGGGGAUGACGGCCUUCGGGUUGUAAACCUCUUUCACCAUCGACGAAGGUUCGGGUUUUCUCGGAUUGACGGUAGGUGGAGAAGAAGCACCGGCCAACUACGUGCCAGCAGCCGCGGUAAUACGUAGGGUGCGAGCGUUGUCCGGAAUUACUG
This 392-nucleotide ribosomal RNA is filed under the name Mycobacterium gordonae. RNAcentral's name for it is "bacterial SSU rRNA". It matches the Rfam family "Bacterial small subunit ribosomal RNA", at positions 164 to 556 of the family's 1533-position model. The record is from RNAcentral. Lineage: Bacteria; Bacillati; Actinomycetota; Actinomycetes; Mycobacteriales; Mycobacteriaceae.